Molecule: non-coding RNA, 1041 nt
Organism: Bemisia tabaci
Lineage: Eukaryota; Metazoa; Arthropoda; Insecta; Hemiptera; Aleyrodidae
Source: RefSeq, a predicted model, not a curated record
UCCACAAAAACCAAAACAAAGCACCGCCAUUUUUGGGUCCUAAGCCUCUCCAUGAACGAGUAGCAAAGGUCGACAUCGGCAAUGGUCGAUUCGUGGCGAACGGUCAGAGGUCGAUUCGCGAACGGUCAUACGUCGAUGCCCGAACGCACCGAACCAAUCGAACCUAGUUCACCAUUGUGCAUUAUAUUUUACUAUUCAAUAUUCAUUUUAUCGUUUGUUGCAAAUGGAGCAUUAUGUAUAGGCUGCUUGUCUUCGCCGUGGACGACACUAAAGACCUCUAAGUUUAAGUAGCUCUCUUAGCAGAACGAGAGCCAUAAUGGAUCAGGAAAUUCCAUCAAUGCACCCUGUCUCUCUUUAGUAGGGAGCCGAGGCACCCUUCUAUGACUCAGUCUUGUCACGUUACAGUAUGAGGAACUGCGCAAAAGCAGAUUGAAGCAAAGGAAACUGUGUCGGUAGUAAAUUCUAGGUAUCCUACAUGAAUGUAUUUAUUUCCAAGUAACUCCUGUGGGUAACAAAACGUUGGCUUCCACGUCAAGAAUAAAGUUGUCAAAGUAGAGGCUUGAAAGCAACUUACAAUGAGGUAGAUGUAAAGACCUGUGAUAUUAAAGCGUAUUAAAGGUGAUAAGGAACUUUACCAUCGAAGAAAUCUUCAGUCAUGGCGACUAUGACCAUGGAGCAGAGACGUUUCCCUCGCUGUAUAAGAAAAUCUGCCAUUAAAGUUUUUCAAGAACAAGAAAAGCUAUAGUUUCAUCUGCAUUUUUAUCAACUUGGUUCUCAAGAAACCUUCAAUGAUCAGACGCAAUGAUAUGCUCCUUUGGCGUGGUAGCGAGUGGAGAUAAUCUAUGAACUGCUGAAAGACUACUUUUUCCUCAAAAAGUGGAUUUUUCCACCUACCUACGCGAAAGUCGUAGAAUGUCCACUCAAUUAGGGCUCAGACUGAAAAAGAAAUUAAUUAAUUAAUUUAAACUGACUCAAAAACACUUCCGGAUUGAACAGCUUCGAUUAACUUCCCACCGUUCCGACAAUGAACAGCAGUGGCUA